CUACGGGACGCACCAGUGAGGAAUAUUGCACAAUGGGGGGAACCCUGAUGCAGCAACGCCGCGUGGAGGAUGACGCAUUUCGGUGUGUAAACUCCUUUUAUAUGUCAAGAAAAUGACGGUAGCAUAUGAAUAAGCACCCGCUAACUCCGUGCCUGCAGCCGCGGUAAUACGGAGGGUGCAAGCGUUAGUCGGAAUCACUGGGCGUAAAGGACGCGUAGGCGGGUUGGAAAGUCAGGUGUGAAAUCCUACAGCUUAACUGUAGAACUGCACUUGAAACUUCUAAUCUAGAGUAUGGGAGGGGGAGAUGGAAUUAGUGGUGUAGGGGUAAAAUCCGUAGAUAUCACUAGGAAUACCUAAAGCGAAGGCGAUCUCCUGGAACAUUACUGACGCUAAGGCGUGAAAGCGUGGGGAGCAAACAGGAUUAGAUACCCCAGUAGUC
Molecule: ribosomal RNA, 439 nt
Filed under: uncultured bacterium
Lineage: Bacteria
Description: partial 16S ribosomal RNA
Rfam family: Bacterial small subunit ribosomal RNA
Source: RNAcentral